GGCAGUGUCAUAGCUCAGUGGCAGAGCUUCUGCUUAGCCUGAGGAAGAUCGCAGGUUCAAUCCUUGGCAUCGCCA
Podarcis lilfordi (Lilford's wall lizard) is the source of this 75-nucleotide non-coding RNA. NCBI's taxonomy places the organism in Eukaryota, Metazoa, Chordata, Lepidosauria, Squamata, Lacertidae. The record is from the annotation of a GenBank genome assembly.